AAUCCCAUUUUAUUACCUUCCACUCGCUGUCUAAUGAAUGGAAGGCUAUGCUAAUGGGGAAGAGAAGCACUGUCAUGGUCUGAAGGUGUGGCUAGCUGAUUGUGCGCCCCACUAAAUAAGCUGACAGAACAUUUGAAU
Molecule: small nucleolar RNA, 138 nt
Organism: Gambusia affinis (western mosquitofish)
Lineage: Eukaryota; Metazoa; Chordata; Actinopteri; Cyprinodontiformes; Poeciliidae
Source: Ensembl